UACGUAGGGACCAAGCGUUGUUCGGAUUUACUGGGCGUAAAGGGCGCGUAGGCGGCGCGGUAAGUCACUUGUGAAAUCUCUGAGCUUAACUCAGAACGGCCAAGUGAUACUGCAGUGCUAGAGUGUGGAAGGGGCAAUCGGAAUUCUUGGUGUAGCGGUGAAAUGCGUAGAUAUCGGGAAGAACAUCAGUGGCGAAGGCGGCCUGCUGGGCUGUUGCUGACGCUGAGGCGCGACAGCGUGGGGAGCAAACAGG
This 253-nucleotide ribosomal RNA is filed under the name uncultured bacterium. RNAcentral's name for it is "partial 16S ribosomal RNA". It matches the Rfam family "Bacterial small subunit ribosomal RNA", at positions 524 to 776 of the family's 1533-position model. The record is from RNAcentral.